AAGACUAUAGACCUGCGGAGUACCUGCGGAGGGAUCAUUAACGAGUAAACUGAACAGGUUGUAGCUGGCUUCGCAAGGAGCAUGUGCACGCCUGGCUCAUCCACUCUUCAACCUCUGUGCACUUAUUGUAGGUUGGCGGGAAAGGCAAGUUCUUUUAUAGGAUUUGCUUGAAAGUCUUCCUAUGUUUUAUUACAAACGCUUCAGUUUAAGAAUGUGUAUUUCUGCGUAUAACGCAUCUAU
Molecule: unclassified non-coding RNA, 240 nt
Filed under: soil metagenome
Description: partial contains 5.8S ribosomal RNA, internal transcribed spacer 2, and large subunit ribosomal RNA
Source: RNAcentral